Molecule: RNA transcript, 6012 nt
Organism: Carassius auratus (goldfish)
Lineage: Eukaryota; Metazoa; Chordata; Actinopteri; Cypriniformes; Cyprinidae
Gene name: NACHT, LRR and PYD domains-containing protein 12-like
Exons: 19
Source: RefSeq, a predicted model, not a curated record
AAUCAAAAGUGAAACAAAUGUUCAGAGUUGAUGUUUUUCCAUUUAAACAGCCAGCAUCGAUUCUGUACGGAAUUUCAAAGUGUUUCAGAGGAACUAAAGUAUGAUUGUCGUGUAGCUGCUUCAUAGAAAGACGGUGGAUUUUGUGAAUCUGUGUAAAUAAGAGUCAGUGCUGGAGAUCAGAUUCUGUUUCAUCAUGGAGGACACACAAACAUCCACAGAUCAAGAGUUUUCUCCAGGAUGCAGUUCAGUUGAUCAGAAGAGAUCAGAAGCAGAGUCCAGCUGUGUGUCUGUGAGGAGUGAUGCGUCUAUGGAUCCUCCAGGACAGUUUAAGAGUGGAGAUACAAACACUGAUCUCAGGAUCUGCAGUCAGAGAUCUUCAUCUCCUGAUCACAGCUGUGUGUCUCUGAAGAGUGACGGAUCCAUGGGUCAUCCUCCUGACCUCAGUGAUGGAGCAGUGACCUCUGACCCCAGCAGAGCAGAUGGAGAGCGAAGCAUCUCUGGAGGAGUCUCCUCUGUCUUCUGUCUGAACAACACGAGCGUUACAGCGUCUCUGAAUAAACAUGAUCAAGCAGUGAAUGAUGAACUACAGAGAGUCAAAGAGCAGCACAAAACCAGCAUGAAGAACAAGUAUGAGAGAUUAUGUGAGGGACUGAAACUCCAGGAGAAUGAAAGCCUCCUGAACAGCAUCUACACACAGCUCUACAUCAUAGAGGGAGAGAGAGAAGGAGUGAAUGAAGAACAUGAGGUUUUACAGAUGGAGAAAACAGCCAGAACACAACACUCACAAGACGCUCCAAUCUACUGCAAUGACAUCUUUAAAGCCUCCGCUGAAGCAGGAUCUGAGGAGAAAGAGCAGAUCAAGACUGUUCUUACUAAAGGCAUCGCUGGAAUCGGAAAAACCGUCUCUGUGCAGAAGUUCAUUCUGGACUGGGCCGAGGGAAAAGCCAAUCAGGAUGUAGAUUUCAUGUUUGUGCUUCCAUUUCGAGAGCUGAACUUGAUCCGAGAUCAUCAGUACAGUCUUCACAGACUUCUGCUGGACUUUCAUCCUGAACUUCGAGAUCUGGACUCACAGAUUUAUGAGGCGUGUAAAGUUGUGUUCAUCUUUGAUGGUCUGGAUGAAAGCAGAAUCACACUGAUGUUUUCAGACGCUCAGAAAGUUUGUGAUGUGACUGAGACUUCAUCAGUGGCUGUGUUGAUGUCAAAGCUGAUGAAAGGAGAGCUGCUUCCCUCUGCUCUCAUCUGGAUCACCUCCAGACCAGCAGCAGCCAAUCAGAUCCCCUCCAAAUACAUCCACCGUCUGACAGAGAUUCAGGGAUUCACUGAGCCUCAGAAGGAGGAAUAUUUCAGGAAGAGAAUCAGUGAUGAGCAUCAAGCCAGCAGAAUCAUCUCACACAUCAGAAGAGCAAGAAGCCUCCACAUCAUGUGCCACAUCCCCGUCUUCUGCUGGAUCUCAUCCACUGUGCUUCAGAAGCUCCUGGAAGAAGAUCUGAGAGCAGAAAUCCCUCAAACUCUGACUGAAAUGUACAUCCACUUCCUGCUGAUUCAGAUCAACAUGAGGAAGCAGAAGUAUGAAGAGAGAGAUCCAGAGAAACUCCUGCCGUCCGACAGAGAAGUGAUUGUGAAACUUGCUGAAGUGGCUUUCAAACAGCUGAUGAAGGGCAAUGUGAUGUUCUAUGAGGAGGACCUGAUUGAGAGCGGUGUAGACGUCACUGACGCCUCGGUGUAUUCUGGGAUUUGCACUGAGAUCUUUAAGCAGGAAUCUGUGAUUCAUCAGAGGAAAGUCUACAGCUUCAUUCAUCUGAGCGUUCAGGAGUUUCUCGCUGCUUUCUAUCUGCUUUACUGCUAUUUAACAAAGAACAAGAAAACACUGCAUGAAUUCAGUUCAUACACAUGUGAUAAAGUCUCUCUGUAUGGUCUACUAACAUCAGCAGUAGAUAAAGCUGUUGAGAGUAAGAAUGGACGUCUGGAUCUGUUCCUGCGGUUCCUGCUGGGCGUCUCACUGGAGUCCAAUCAGAGACUCUCACAGGAUCUACUGACACACACAGAGAACAGCUCAGAGACCAUCAGCAGAACCACACAGUAUAUUAAACGCAAGAUUAAAGAUCCAGAUGAUCUUUAUCAUCUCUCAGCUGAUCAGUCCAUCAAUCUGUUCCUCUGUCUGCUGGAAGUGAAAGAUCAGACUCUGUUCAGAGAGAUUCAGGAGUUUGUGAAAUCAGACAAACACUCAGAGAGACUCUCUCCUGCUCACUGCUCAACAAUCUCCUACAUGAUUCAGAUGUCAGAGAAGCCUCUGGAUGAACUGGACCCCAAGAAAUACAAGACAUCAGCUGAGGGGAGAAGAAGACUGAUACCAGCUGUGAUCAACUGCAGAAAAGCUGUGUUGAGAUAUUGUGACGUCACAGAUAAAGGUUGUUCUGCUCUGGCUUCAGCUCUGAGAUCAAACCCCUCACACCUGAGAGAACUGGAUCUGUCUUGGAAUAAAAUAAGAGAUUCAGGAGUGAAGCGUCUCUGUGCUGGACUGGAGGAUCCUCGCUGUAAACUGGAGAAACUGGGGUUGAGAUAUUGUGGGGUCACAGAUGAAGGUUGUUCUGCUCUGACUUCAGCUCUGAGAUCAAACCCCUCACACCUGAGAGAACUGAAUCUGUCUGGGAAUAUAAUAAGAGAUUUGGGAGUGAAGUGUCUCUGUGCUGUACUGGAGGAUCCUCGCUGUAAACUGGAGAAACUGGGGUUGAGAGAUUGUGACGUCACAGAUGAAGGUUGUUCUGCUCUGACUUCAGCUCUGAGAUCAAACCCCUCACACCUGAGAGAACUGGAUCUGUCUGAGAAUAAAAUAAGAGAUUCAGGAGUGAAGCGUAUCUGUGCUGGACUGGAGGAUCCUCGCUGUAAACUGGAGAAACUGUGGUUCUUCUGUCUUCAGUCUGGACGAGGUGUGAGCGUCAUAACUCCAGGGACGGAUGAACACACGGCUCUACUGGACACGUACUCGGAGAACUAGACCAGAGGGACCCCGCCGAAAUACUGCUGCUCCCGGAACCAGAUUUCAGACAGACACCUCAGAUUUCUGAGACAAGUGGAGCUUGAAUGAGAUUUACCAAAGAAAAGGAAAUAUGAGGCAGAACGCACGCUUGCUGUUCUCUGGUGAAUUCUCUCUUCAUGAACAACAAUGUAGAGCUGUGCACACAAUGUACAGAUACUUCUAGAGCAGAUAUGAGGGAGACUUCAGUCACGUUUGGAGCACGCUCUUUCACAGAUGUCUGUGGAUGUGGACUUCUUACAAUUGAUCUGUGUUCAGGAGCUGGUUUUCCUGAGUGCUGUAUCCUCCAGGUCAUCAUUCCUGUGGACAGAUGGGAAGACUUCACUGGUCUGCAUCAUGCUGUUACUUUAGAGAGACACAGAAACGAGACGCAUGUUGUGACGGCACAAUUGGAGCACUCUCUCUUCUGGAGAGGAGCAUUUUGGUAAAUAAAUACACCAUAUUACAUUCAUUGUAAUGUUUAAUCAAUAUUGUUGUUGUACUUUAGGAUAGUUGGUGAAAUAAUGGCAGUGAGCAUUACUCAGGAUGGACCUUUUUCAUGGAGUGGAUUUACAAUUUCAUUUCUUCCGGGAGAUUAAUAAAGAUGAGCUGACAUAACAGAUGCAGACCUGCUAGAUCUGAUUGACAAGAUUGAGACUGCAGACACUACAGCCUUGCUUGAGCUUUCUGAAAGAAUCGUAGCAUGUGGUACACAGGAUCCUAACAUGUGAUGAAAGGAAGACAUUGUCAGGAGCGAGGACUUUGACAGAACGGGGCAGAAUGUCCGGAUUAAAGAUGCUGUUGUGCCAAACAUUUUUAACUUUCCAGCUCAUCUUCAAAGGGUCUGUGUAUCACUGACCAACAAUAAUUCAAGGUGGCUGGAAUAACAACCCUAAUGCCAGCGAGUUAAAGUAGAUCUUUAGGAAGCUGAUGUUAAACAGAGGCAAUGUGACGGCGCAGGAUGAGUCCCUACCAUCUGUCCUCAACACCUCUUCAAACCUGUCAGAUAUGAGGAGAAGAUCUUCCAUCCACGUUUGCUGAUAUUCCUGCCCUAGUACAUGACCACAGCUACCCUCUCGUCCGAUUCGAUGGUCUUGUGGACAACGCUCUCUUGUAUAUUUCAAGAUGUACAAUUAUACAAGUCUUGCAUAAUUAUGGGCUGAAAUUCAACAUGGUUGUAUAUUUAAGACAUGAAUAUUUCAAUUAAAAACAUUUCAAACUGAUUUUCAUAAUCAAAAAUUCAAGAAUUCAUAUUCACCUUUCAGAUUUCACUUCCAAAAUAUUCGAUCUAUUUAAAAAUACAACCUAUAAUAUUCAACAGGCAAGUUUCAGUCCAUUUUAUUUCGCUUUACAAAUUCGCUUCCACAAAUUCAGUGGUUCAAAUUCGACAGUAAAUUCACCGUUUCACAUCCGGGAACAACAGGAAAAUCAGUAGAUUACCGAUCACAAUCUCAUCUGCUGUAAAUCGUCUUCACCGGCAGGAGGUGCAAGCGCUACUUUGUCUUAACAAGCAUCAACGAAACCGUCACGAGAGGCCUUCAUAAAACAUCAUUUGACGAAAUGGACCGAGCGCAUUUGCUUUUGGAUUAUGUUUUGGAAAGACUCCGUUCACGCUUGGAAAAUGCUGUUGGACGCCAACCCCUUGACAUGGACUACCUGGAGUUCAUCUGCUCUCAAGAAUUAGUCUUUUUAAGUGCUGUGACCAAUUUAGUUACCAUCCCAGCUGAUAUUUUCGAGGGCAUCACAGAACUGUCGGACUAGUUCGACUAAACCCGUCAGACGGGGAGACGCGCACUUCGACUAUUCUGCAGGAGUCAGGGUCGAUGGGACGACCACGUCUUCUAAUCUCACCAGACUACAUCACCAAUCUCCUGGACAUGAACUUUUCUGUUCCAACCAUUGCUCGCAUGCUUGGAGUAAGUACACUCACAGUUUUCAGACGAAUGGCUGAAUGUAACCUCUCCAUUCGGGCGCGAUAUAGCACUCUCACGGACGAAGAGUUAGAUGAUUGUGUGACAGAUGUAAAGCAACACAUGCCUCAGUGUGGAUACAGAAUGAUGAGAGCAGCUGUAAAGGACACCAAGUGCAGUUCGACCGGGUCAGGGCAGAUACAGUGGGAGUCAUGUCCCGAAGGGCACAGUUGGGCUGCGUGGUACGAAGGACCCAUUCAGUGUCAGGUCCUAGGUCAAUAAUGCACAUUGACACCAACUAUAAACGGAUUCGCUACAAUAUAGUCAUCUUCGGGGUGUGGAUGGCUUUUCACGCAAGAUAAUGUACCUUGGAGCUGCAUCUAAUAACCUUGCUAAAACCACCUUGGAUUUUUUUCAAGAAGCAGCGGAGACAUUUGGCUUCCCUCUCAGGGUACGAGGAGAUCAGGGUGUCGAAAAUGUGGACGUGGCUCGCCUGAUGUUCACAGUUCGUGAGACAGAAAGAGGAAGCUUUAUUUCAGGAAAGAGCGUCCACAAUCAGCGUAUAGAGAGGUUGUGGAGAGACGUCUGGUCAUCAGUGACAAAUGUCUACUACGAUGUUCUGCAUGCUUUGGAAGAAGGUGGCCACCUUGAUAUUUCUGACCUUACUCAUCUGUUCUGUUGCCACUGUGUAUUUCUCCCACGGCUUCAAGAUGAUCUCAACCUAUUCCGAAACACCUGGGACAAUCACCCAAUACGCACAGAGGGGAUUCAGCACACCACAGAUAGACUGGGAGAGUAGUGGACUGAUGUUGAUGCACAUUCCAGCAUUGUUGUGCCUCAAACCCAAUGUCCCCUGACUGAUGAGCAAAUAGAAGCACUCAGAGAAAAUGUUGACCCCAAAGGACCUUCACAGACUUUUGGCUGGGACAUCUAUCUAGCUGCACUUCAUUUUUGCCAAUCGAUUAUGGAAUAAAUGUGAUUGUCAUCUUUAGCCUUAAAGAGGCAGACUUCUAGCAGAAGCAAUUAAGAAAGAAUUAAUAUUUGUACUCAAUACGUUAAAGUAUCUGAAUAAAAAAAACCUGUAUGUAA